GUGAACGCUGGCGGUAGGCCUAACCCCUGCAAGUCGGACGGCAGCACCGUAAGCGCUUGCUCUUACGGGUGGCGAGUGGCGGACGGGUGAGGAAUACAUCGGAAUCUACUUUUUCGUGGGGGAUCACGUAGGGAAACUUACGCUAAUACCGCAUACGACCUACGGGUGAAAGCAGGGGAGCUUCGGACCUUGCGCGAUUGAAUGAGCCGAUGUCGGAUUAGCUAGUUGGCGGGGUAAAGGCCCACCAAGGCGACGAUCCGUAGCUGGUCUGAGAGGAUGAUCAGCCACACUGGAACUGAGACACGGUCCAGACUCCUACGGGAGGCAGCAGUGGGGAAUAUUGGACAAUGGGCGCAAGCCUGAUCCAGCCAUACCGCGUGGGUGAAGAAGGCCUUCGGGUUGUAAAGCCCUUUUGUUGGGAAAGAAAAGCAGCAGGUUAAUACCCCGCUGUUCUGACGGUACCCAAAGAAUAAGCACCGGCUAACUUCGUG
RNAcentral lists this ribosomal RNA (491 nucleotides) under uncultured bacterium. RNAcentral describes it as "partial 16S ribosomal RNA". It matches the Rfam family "Bacterial small subunit ribosomal RNA", at positions 29 to 507 of the family's 1533-position model. The record is from RNAcentral.